GACGUCAAGUCAUCAUGGCCCUUACGACCAGGGCUACACACGUGCUACAAUGGCGCAUACAAAGAGAAGCGACCUCGCGAGAGCAAGCGGACCUCAUAAAGUGCGUCGUAGUCCGGAUUGGAGUCUGCAACUCGACUCCAUGAAGUCGGAAUCGCUAGUAAUCGUGGAUCAGAAUGCCACGGUGAAUACGUUCCCGGGCCUUGUACACACCGCCCGUCACACCAUGGGAGUGGGUUGCAAAAGAAGUAGGUAGCUUAACCUUCGGGAGGGCGCUUACCACUUUGUGAUUCAUGACUGGGGUGAAGUCGUAACAAGGUAACCGUAGGGGAACCUGCGGUUGGAUCACCUCCUU
Molecule: ribosomal RNA, 352 nt
Filed under: Shigella flexneri
Lineage: Bacteria; Pseudomonadati; Pseudomonadota; Gammaproteobacteria; Enterobacterales; Enterobacteriaceae
Also listed under: 1 other name
Description: bacterial SSU rRNA
Rfam family: Bacterial small subunit ribosomal RNA
Source: RNAcentral